RNAcentral lists this ribosomal RNA (253 nucleotides) under uncultured bacterium. RNAcentral describes it as "partial 16S ribosomal RNA". It matches the Rfam family "Bacterial small subunit ribosomal RNA", at positions 524 to 776 of the family's 1533-position model. The record is from RNAcentral.
UACGGAGGGAGCUAGCGUUGUUCGGAAUUACUGGGCGUAAAGCGCACGUAGGCGGCUAUUCAAGUCGGGGGUGAAAGCCCGGGGCUCAACCCCGGAACUGCCCUCGAAACUAGGUAGCUAGAAUCUUGGAGAGGUCAGUGGAAUUCCGAGUGUAGAGGUGAAAUUCGUAGAUAUUCGGAGGAACACCAGAAGCGAAGGCGGCCAACUGGCCCGAUACUGACGCUGAGGCGCGAAAGCGUAGGGAGCAAACAGG